Molecule: long non-coding RNA, 557 nt
Organism: Gossypium arboreum
Lineage: Eukaryota; Viridiplantae; Streptophyta; Magnoliopsida; Malvales; Malvaceae
Exons: 2
Source: RefSeq, a predicted model, not a curated record
UCAUUUCAGCUAUGGUUUUUUAAAAAAAAAAGAAAAGGGGAAGGGUUUUGGUGCUCUGGGCUAGAUGAUUUCCGGCGAUCGGACCACCGUCCGUCCGUCAUCGGCGACCGUCGUAUACGGCGGCCGAAAGUGUAAAAUCAACCCCUUUUUAACUCUUUUGCUCCCCUCGCCCUAGAUCCGUGGUUAAAAUACCCAAAAACCUCACGAAAGCCGAUAGAAAUUAAGGAAAACUCUCGGUUUUAAACUCUCCGAUCGCCCAAACAAGGUCUUUGGAAGCGAUGGGACGAGGCCAGGGAGUGGUUGAGCCUCGAGCGUUGAACGCGCUGACCAGGCACGUGGGGACCGGCGCACACUGCUGCUAGAAUUUUUUUGUUUCUGCUUUUUUUUUUCUUUUUUGGGUUACGGACUUGUAAAAUUUUGGGCUAGAGUAGUGUUUGGUUUGAUUUGGGCUUGUUUGUAUUAAGGCCCGGUCAAAAUUUGGGCCUUACAGACAAAAUAUAUAAUACAAUGUAAUAUAAUGGAUUAAAUGUUAACUUUUCUUGGCUUAUAAUAAUAAA